RNAcentral lists this ribosomal RNA (458 nucleotides) under uncultured bacterium. Its description in RNAcentral is "partial 16S ribosomal RNA". It matches the Rfam family "Bacterial small subunit ribosomal RNA", at positions 338 to 795 of the family's 1533-position model. The record is from RNAcentral.
CCUACGGGUGGCAGCAGUGGGGAAUAUUGCACAAUGGGGGAAACCCUGAUGCAGCGACGCCGCGUGCGUGAAGAAGUAUUUAGGUAUGUAAAGCUCUAUCAGCAGGGAAGAAAUAGCGAACUUUGGGUCGCCGGACGGUACCUGAUUCAGAAGCCCCGGCUAACUACGUGCCAACAGCCGCGGUAAUACGUAGGGGGGAAGCGUUAUCCGGAUUUACUGGGUGUAAAGGGAGCGUAGACGGCAGGACAAGUCUGAAGUGAAAUGCCGGGGCUGAACCCCGGAACUGCUUCGGAAACUGUGCAGCUAGAGUGCAGGAGAGGUAAGGGGAAUUCCUGGUGUAGCGGUGAAAUGCGUAGAUAUUAGGAGGAACACCAGUGGCGAAGGCGGCUUACUGGACUGUAACUGACGUCGAGGCUCGAAAGCGUGGGGAGCAAACAGGAUUAGAUACCCUUGUAGUC